This 153-nucleotide unclassified non-coding RNA is filed under the name sea anemone metagenome. RNAcentral describes it as "partial contains small subunit ribosomal RNA and internal transcribed spacer 1". It matches the Rfam family "Eukaryotic small subunit ribosomal RNA", at positions 1678 to 1831 of the family's 1831-position model. The record is from RNAcentral.
GCUACUACCGAUUGAAUGGUUUAGUGAGGACUCCUGAUUGGCGCCGCCGCCCCGGCAACGGAGCAGCGGACUGCCGAAAAGUUGUUCAAACUUGAUCAUUUAGAGGAAGUAAAAGUCGUAACAAGGUUUCCGUAGGUGAACCUGCAGAGGAUA